Molecule: ribosomal RNA, 457 nt
Filed under: uncultured bacterium
Lineage: Bacteria
Description: bacterial SSU rRNA
Rfam family: Bacterial small subunit ribosomal RNA
Source: RNAcentral
GACGAACGCUGGCGGCGUGCCUAACACAUGCAAGUCGAACGAGAUCCAUGGGAGCUUGCUCCCGGAAGAUCUAGUGGCGAACGGGUGAGUAACACGUGAGAAACCUGCCCUGGAGUGGGGAAUAACUCGGGGAAACUCGAGCCAAUACCGCAUACCCUCGGAUGGUCGCAUGGCCGACCGGGGGAAAAGAUUUUAUCGGCUCUAGGAGGGUCUCGCGGCCUAUCAGCUAGUUGGUGGGGUAACGCCUACCAAGGCAACGACGGGUAGCUGGUUUGAGAGAACGAUCAGCCACACUGGGACUGAGACACGGCCCAGACUCCUACGGGAGGCAGCAGUGGGGAAUCUUGCGCAAUGGGCGAAAGCCUGACGCAGCAACGCCGCGUGCGGGAUGACGGCUCGUGUGUAACGCUUCAGCAGGGACGAAAAUGAGGUACCUGCAGAAGAAGCCCCGGCUAAC